This 1149-nucleotide ribosomal RNA is filed under the name Salmonella enterica subsp. enterica serovar Richmond. Its description in RNAcentral is "partial 23S ribosomal RNA". It matches the Rfam family "Bacterial large subunit ribosomal RNA", at positions 1 to 1190 of the family's 2925-position model. Lineage: Bacteria; Pseudomonadati; Pseudomonadota; Gammaproteobacteria; Enterobacterales; Enterobacteriaceae. The record is from RNAcentral.
GUUAAGCGACUAAGCGUACACGGUGGAUGCCCUGGCAGUCAGAGGCGAUGAAGGGCGUGCUAAUCUGCGAUAAGCGCCGGUAAGGUGAUAUGAACCGUUAUAACCGGCGAUACCCGAAUGGGGAAACCCAGUGUGAUUCGUCACACUAUCAUUAACUGAAUCCAUAGGUUAAUGAGGCGAACCGGGGGAACUGAAACAUCUAAGUACCCCGAGGAAAAGAAAUCAACCGAGAUUCCCCCAGUAGCGGCGAGCGAACGGGGAGGAGCCCAGAGCCUGAAUCAGCAUGUGUGUUAGUGGAAGCGUCUGGAAAGGCGCGCGAUACAGGGUGACAGCCCCGUACACAAAAGCGCAUGUGCUGUGAGCUCGAUGAGUAGGGCGGGACACGUGGUAUCCUGUCUGAAUAUGGGGGGACCAUCCUCCAAGGCUAAAUACUCCUGACUGACCGAUAGUGAACCAGUACCGUGAGGGAAAGGCGAAAAGAACCCCGGCGAGGGGAGUGAAAAAGAACCUGAAACCGUGUACGUACAAGCAGUGGGAGCACAGGUUUACCUGUGUGACUGCGUACCUUUUGUAUAAUGGGUCAGCGACUUAUAUUCUGUAGCAAGGUUAACCGUAUAGGGGAGCCGGAGGGAAACCGAGUCUUAACCGGGCGUUAAGUUGCAGGGUAUAGACCCGAAACCCGGUGAUCUAGCCAUGGGCAGGUUGAAGGUUGGGUAACACUAACUGGAGGACCGAACCGACUAAUGUUGAAAAAUUAGCGGAUGACCUGUGGCUGGGGGUGAAAGGCCAAUCAAACCGGGAGAUAGCUGGUUCUCCCCGAAAGCUAUUUAGGUAGCGCCUCGUGAAUUCAUCUCCGGGGGUAGAGCACUGUUUCGGCUAGGGGGCCAUCCCGGCUUACCAACCCGAUGCAAACUGCGAAUACCGGAGAAUGUUAUCACGGGAGACACACGGCGGGUGCUAACGUCCGUCGUGAAGAGGGAAACAACCCAGACCGCCAGCUAAGGUCCCAAAGUCAUGGUUAAGUGGGAAACGAUGUGGGAAGGCCCAGACAGCCAGGAUGUUGGCUUAGAAGCAGCCAUCAUUUAAAGAAAGCGUAAUAGCUCACUGGUCGAGUCGGCCUGCGCGGAAGAUGUAACGGGGCUAAACCAU